This 622-nucleotide small RNA is filed under the name Sporolactobacillus laevolacticus DSM 442. Lineage: Bacteria; Bacillati; Bacillota; Bacilli; Caryophanales; Sporolactobacillaceae. The record is from RNAcentral.
AAUUGCAUAAAAAAUGAUGGUGCAGUAUUCUAGUCAUUCUACUUUACUUGAAGACGGGGCUAAAAAUCCGUCAAAGGGCACAUCGAUGAAGUUCCUGGUGCCGGCUUAAGGCGCCCAGCUUUGGGCUAGUGCUGGGAGUAAAGGGCGUAGGGCGAUCCACAAUGGCAUGUGGGCGAAGACCCUGCGCCCGUGGAGACACGUACGUUGUUUGCUUUUACGCAAUAGCUAUGUGGAAAACCUGUUUCGUAAGUACUUAAUCAUUAAGGAAAAGCGAACAGCGUAGCCUGCCUUGAGUGGGAAAGAGGGGAUGGUAAGCGCAUAACUUUGAAAUACUUGGCCGGUAUGAUAAGGGGCGCUUUCCUGAAAUCAAUUCUGCAAAAGAGGCUAGAGUAAAGUUUCAAGAAUGCUUGAGGAAAUCUCCUAGACUGUCUGCAUAGUGCAGCAUUUGAAAAGGAUUAUAGUGCGGUCUGAGUGGCGUUCUAGUUCGGUGUCUGGCGACAGCAUCGGCCAAGUUUUAAAAGGAAACUGCCUGCUUGGCAACAACAGGUAAUUUGGCGGGAAAACCUACUGGACCUAAGCCGCAAUGUUUACUUUUCAAAUGACCUCGCUACAUAAAAAGCAA